AUGGUUUGGACCGUUCGUGUGCCACUGAAGAUUCGCAUAUUCAUGUGGCAAUGGAUCCGUGGUAGGCUCCCUUCUGGUGUGGAGGUAUGCAAGCGCAAUGGCCCGGGCACCGGUAUCUGCCCGCUCUGUGGCGUCCCGGAGGACUCGAACCACAUCUUCUUCUCCUGCGUCUCUGCUCAAUUCCUCUGGAGCUGCUUUUGUGAAGUCGUCGGCGGGAGUCGGUGCCACACCAACUUCCCGGACCUAUUUGCUGAACUCCAACUGUCCCCCGUGUCCGCGCGCCACAUUAGGUGGCUUCAAGUUGGGGUGCUGGCCUGGACGUUGUGGACCGUUCGCAAUAAACUUGUGAUCCAGCACGCUCCCCUCCGUCGCUCUACUAACGUCCUCUACAAAUUCUCGGGUUUUUUGCAGCUUUGGCGGCCGCUUAGUCGCCCCCCGGACCGUGACGCCAUCUCCGCCUUCAUCGCCGACAUCCGAUCGAUGGCCGUCCUCCUCUCUCCGCCGCCUCCGCCGCCUCCGCCGGAGCCUGAUUAG
RNAcentral lists this ribosomal RNA (534 nucleotides) under Triticum aestivum (bread wheat). Its description in RNAcentral is "partial small subunit ribosomal RNA". The record is from RNAcentral. Lineage: Eukaryota; Viridiplantae; Streptophyta; Magnoliopsida; Poales; Poaceae.